Molecule: ribosomal RNA, 253 nt
Filed under: uncultured bacterium
Lineage: Bacteria
Description: partial 16S ribosomal RNA
Rfam family: Bacterial small subunit ribosomal RNA
Source: RNAcentral
UACGAAGGGGGCUAGCGUUGCUCGGAAUCACUGGGCGUAAAGCGCACGUAGGCGGAUUGCUAAGUCAGGGGUGAAAUCCUGGAGCUCAACUCCAGAACUGCCUUUGAUACUGGCGACCUUGUGUCCGGGAGAGGUGAGUGGAACUGCGAGUGUAGAGGUGAAAUUCGUAGAUAUUAGGAAGAACACCAGUGGCGAAGGCGGCUCACUGGCCCGAAACUGACGCUGAUGUACGAAAGCGUGGGGAGCAAACAGG